This 497-nucleotide ribosomal RNA is filed under the name uncultured bacterium. Its description in RNAcentral is "partial 16S ribosomal RNA". It matches the Rfam family "Bacterial small subunit ribosomal RNA", at positions 899 to 1397 of the family's 1533-position model. The record is from RNAcentral.
ACUCAAAUGAAUAGACGGGGGCCCGCACAAGCGGUGGAUUAUGUGGUUUAAUUCGAAGCAACGCGCAGAACCUUACCUAGGUUUGACAUCCCUUGACAAUCUUGGAAACAAGACUUUGUAGCAAUACACAAGGAGACAGGUGCUGCAUGGCUGUCGUCAGCUCGUGUUGUGAAAUGUUGGGUUAAGUCCCGCAACGAGCGCAACCCCUGGAUUUAGUUGCCAGCAUUAAGUUGGGCACUCUAAAUUAACUGCCAGCGUUAAGCUGGAGGAAGGUGGGGAUGACGUCAAGUCCUCAUGGCCCUUACACCUAGGGCUACACACGUAAUACAAUGGAUAGGACAAAGGGCAGCGAACCAGCGAUGGGGAGCUAAUCUCAAAAACCUAUCCUCAGUUCGGAUUGGAGGCUGCAAUUCGCCUCCAUGAAGGCGGAAUCGCUAGUAAUCGUGGAUCAGAACGCCACGGUGAAUACGUUCCCGGGCCUUGCACACACCGCCCGU